This 485-nucleotide ribosomal RNA is filed under the name uncultured bacterium. RNAcentral describes it as "partial 16S ribosomal RNA". It matches the Rfam family "Bacterial small subunit ribosomal RNA", at positions 30 to 507 of the family's 1533-position model. The record is from RNAcentral.
UUGAACGCUGGCGGCAUGCCUUACACAUGCAAGUCGAACGGCAGCACGGGUGCUUGCACCUGGUGGCGAGUGGCGAACGGGUGAGUAAUACAUCGGAACAUGUCCUGUAGUGGGGGAUAGCCCGGCGAAAGCCGGAUUAAUACCGCAUACGAUCUACGGAUGAAAGCGGGGGACCUUCGGGCCUCGCGCUAUAGGGUUGGCCGAUGGCUGAUUAGCUAGUUGGUGGGGUAAAGGCCUACCAAGGCGACGAUCAGUAGCUGGUCUGAGAGGACGACCAGCCACACUGGGACUGAGACACGGCCCAGACUCCUACGGGAGGCAGCAGUGGGGAAUUUUGGACAAUGGGCGAAAGCCUGAUCCAGCAAUGCCGCGUGUGUGAAGAAGGCCUUCGGGUUGUAAAGCACUUUUGUCCGGAAAGAAAUCCUUGGCCCUAAUACGGUCGGGGGAUGACGGUACCGGAAGAAUAAGCACCGGCUAACCACGUG